This 497-nucleotide ribosomal RNA is filed under the name uncultured bacterium. Its description in RNAcentral is "partial 16S ribosomal RNA". It matches the Rfam family "Bacterial small subunit ribosomal RNA", at positions 28 to 507 of the family's 1533-position model. The record is from RNAcentral.
GAUGAACGCUGGCGGCGUGCCUAAUACAUGCAAGUCGAGCGAACAGAUGAGGAGCUUGCUCCUUUGACGUUAGCGGCGGACGGGUGAGUAACACGUGGAUAACCUACCUAUAAGACUGGGAUAACUUCGGGAAACCGGAGCUAAUACCGGAUAACAUAUUGAACCGCAUGGUUCUAUAGUGAAAGACGGUUUUGCUGUCACUUAUAGAUGGAUCCGCGCCGUAUUAGCUAGUUGGUAAGGUAACGGCUUACCAAGGCAACGAUACGUAGCCGACCUGAGAGGGUGAUCGGCCACACUGGAACUGAGACACGGUCCAGACUCCUACGGGAGGCAGCAGUAGGGAAUCUUCCGCAAUGGGCGAAAGCCUGACGGAGCAACGCCGCGUGAGUGAUGAAGGUCUUCGGAUCGUAAAACUCUGUUAUUAGGGAAGAACAAAUGUGUAAGUAACUAUGCACGUCUUGACGGUACCUAAUCAGAAAGCCACGGCUAACUACGUG